This 433-nucleotide ribosomal RNA is filed under the name uncultured bacterium. RNAcentral's name for it is "partial 16S ribosomal RNA". It matches the Rfam family "Bacterial small subunit ribosomal RNA", at positions 29 to 507 of the family's 1533-position model. The record is from RNAcentral.
AACGAACGCUGGCGGCAUGCCUAACACAUGCAAGUCGAACGAGACCUUCGGGCCUAGUGGCGCACGGGUUCGUAACGCGUGGGAACCUGCCCUUAGGUUCGGACUAACUCCCCGAAAGGGGUGCUAAUACCGGUUAACGUUCUCGGACCAAAGAUUUUUCGCCUUUGGAUGGGCCCGCGUUGGAUUAGCUAGUUGGUAGGGUAAAAGCCUACCAAGGCGACGAUCCAUAGCUGGUCUGAGAGGAUGAUCAGCCACACUGGAACUGAGACACGGCCCAGACACCUACGGGAGGGAGCAGUGGGGAAUAGUGGACGAUGGGCGAAAGCCUGAUCCAGCAAUGCCGCGUGAGUGAUGAAGGACUUAGGGUUGUAAAGCUCUUUUAGCCGGGAUGAUAAUGACAGUACCGGGAGAAUAAGCUCCGGCUAACUCCGUG